Mariannaea sp. PMI_226 is the source of this 110-nucleotide non-coding RNA. NCBI's taxonomy places the organism in Eukaryota, Fungi, Ascomycota, Sordariomycetes, Hypocreales, Nectriaceae. The record is from the annotation of a GenBank genome assembly.
GGGGGGCUGGCGCAACGGUAGCGCGUCAGAUUCCAGCGGUUUGUAGGUGACAGUAGCCUGCCUGCGUCGGAGUUUCCUGAAGGUUAUCGGUUCAAAUCCGGUGUCCCUCA